UUUAAGGUCUGACCUGCCCAAUGAGGGUUUAAAUGGCCGCAGUAUUUUGACUGUGCAAAGGUAGCAUAAUUAUUAGUUUUUUAAUUGAAAGCUUGUAUGAAGGGUUGGACGAGAUAAAGUCUGUCUCUAUUUAGAUUAAAAUAGAAUUUAACUUUUAAGUCAAAAGGCUUAAAUAUUUAUAAAAGACGAGAAGACCCUAUAGAUCUUUAUUUGGAUUGAAUUUUGAUAAUUUAGGAUUAUUUUAGUUUAAAUUUCAAACUAAAUUUUAUUGGGGUAAUAUAAAGAUUAAAUAAAUUCUUUUUAUUAAUAACAUUAAUUUAUGAGUUUGUGAUCCAUUAUUAGUGAUUAUAAGAUUAAGUUACCUUAGGGAUAACAGCGUAAUUUUUUUGGAGAGCUCAUAUCGAUAAAAAAGUUUGCGACCUCGAUGUUGGAUUAAAAAUUAGCUUGGGUGUAGAAGCUUGAGAUUUUGGUCUGUUCGACCAUUAAAUUUUUACAUGAUCUGAGUUCAGACCGGCGUAAGCCAGGUCGGUUUCUAUCUUUAUUUGAUUUAAAUGUUUUAGUACGAAAGGACCAAAUAUUUAAUAUAUUUAUAUUUAUUUUUUGAAUAAUAAU
This 612-nucleotide ribosomal RNA is filed under the name Myriochila parasemicincta. RNAcentral's name for it is "partial 16S ribosomal RNA". It matches the Rfam family "Bacterial large subunit ribosomal RNA", at positions 1844 to 2739 of the family's 2925-position model. Lineage: Eukaryota; Metazoa; Arthropoda; Insecta; Coleoptera; Carabidae. The record is from RNAcentral.